GUAGGGAAUUUUCGGCAAUGGGGGGAACCCUGACCGAGCAAUGCCGCGUGAAUGAAGACGAUCUUCGGAUUGUAAAGUUCUGUUAUUGGGAAAGAAAGAUAUGAUCAGGAAAUGGGUUAUAUUUGACGGUACCUAAAUAAGAAGCCACGGCUAACUACGUGCCAGCAGCCGCGGUAAUACGUAGGUGGCAAGCGUUGUCCGGAAUUAUUGGGCGUAAAGCGCGCGCAGGCGGGAUAUCAAGUCUGUCUUAAAAGUGCGAGGCUCAACCUCGGGAGGGGACAGAAACUGGUAUUCUUGAGUGUCGGAGAGGAAAGUGGAAUUCCAAGUGUAGCGGUGAAAUGCGUAGAGAUUUGGAAGAACACCAGUGGCGAAGGCGACUUUCUGGACGAUGUCUGACGCUGAGGCGCGAAAGCUAGGGGAGCGAACGGGAUUAGAAACCCGAGUAGUCC
RNAcentral lists this ribosomal RNA (449 nucleotides) under uncultured bacterium. RNAcentral's name for it is "partial 16S ribosomal RNA". It matches the Rfam family "Bacterial small subunit ribosomal RNA", at positions 354 to 796 of the family's 1533-position model. The record is from RNAcentral.